AGUUGUAGAAUCACUGGUGAAUAAGGGGUGGGCAAGUUCUGGUGUCAGCCGCCGCGGUAAAACCAGCACCUCGAGUGGUCAGGAGGUUUAUUGGGCCUAAAGCAUCCGUAGCCGGUUGCAUAAGUUUUCGGUUAAAUCUAUGCGCUUAACGUAUAGGCCGCCGAAAAUACUGUGCAGCUAGGGAGUGGGAGAGGUACACGGUACUCGAUAGGAAGGGGUAAAAUCCUUUGAUCUAUUGAUGACCACCUGUGGCGAAGGCGGUGUACCAGGACACGUUCGACGGUGAGGGAUGAAAGCUGGGGGAGCAAACCGGAUUAGAUACCCGGGUAGUCCCAGCUGUAAACGAUGCAGACUCGGUGAUGCAUUGGCUUGUGGCCAAUGCAGUGCCGCAGGGAAGCCGUUAAGUCUGCCGCCUGGGAAGUACGUACGCAAGUAUGAAACUUAAAGGAAUUGGCGGGGGAGCACCACAAGGGGUGAAGCCUGCGGUUCAAUUGGAGUCAACGCCAGAAAUCUUACCUGGGGAGACAGCAGAAUGAAGGUCAAGCUGAAGACUUUACCAGACACGCUGAGAGGUGGUGCAUGGCCGUCGCCAGCUCGUGCCGUGAGAUGUCCUGUUAAGUCAGGUAACGAGCGAGACCCCUGCGUCUAGUUGCUACCAUUACUCUCUGGAGCAGUGGAGCGAAUUAGACGGACCGCCACAGUUAAUGUGGAGGAAGGAAGGGGCCACGGCAGGUCAGUAUGCCCCGAAACCCUAGGGCUACACGCGGGCUGCAAUGGUAUUGACAAUGUGUUCCGAAUCCGAAAGGAGGAGGCAAUCAUCAAACAAUAUCUCAGUUAUGACUGAGGGC
This 848-nucleotide ribosomal RNA is filed under the name uncultured archaeon. Its description in RNAcentral is "bacterial SSU rRNA". It matches the Rfam family "Archaeal small subunit ribosomal RNA", at positions 415 to 1261 of the family's 1478-position model. The record is from RNAcentral.